Oncorhynchus tshawytscha (Chinook salmon) is the source of this 1504-nucleotide long non-coding RNA. The record is from Ensembl. Lineage: Eukaryota; Metazoa; Chordata; Actinopteri; Salmoniformes; Salmonidae.
AUUUUUCGCCUCCACCAGAUGACGACCGUGGACAGAUAACAGAUAGGUCGCCAGUUCGUCGCUUGUUGUCAGAAAUACCCCAUGCAUACACAUUUGUUUUGUGUGUUAAAAGUGUUUGGUUUAAAAAACGUGUUAAACCAGUAAGGAAGGUUACGUAACUAAGAUGAAUGAAGAAAGUUGCAUACACAACAUAGAAUGUGUGCACACAUGUCAUAGAACCACAUGAAAAAGAAAGUGACAGACUAAUAAUGCAUUGUUGGUAAAUGGUGACAGACUGACUGAUCUGCAAGUAAUAAUAAAUAUGUAUUUGUUAUGCAAAGGGAUUGUAGAUCAGUCAGUCUGCGUGUGGAGGAGGAUGAAGACUAGUUACGUGCAGGACAUAGUAAAACACACGCUAUCAUUGACAUGCAGCUUUUCUCAUAGACGGGAGGUUACUAUGUGAAGGAAUGUGUUUAGAUUGGUAGUUGUCUCUUUAUGUUUCUUUUGAGAUGGUAUGGCCUCCGAGGACACCCAAGACCAACUGGAUGAGGCUAUUAAAAAGGCAGACCGGCUUUCUGAGGAGCUCAACCAAGAGAAGGACCCACAAACCCAACUGGACGAGGCCAUUAACGAGGCAAAAAGGCUGACUGAGGAGCUCAACCCAGAACGGGCAAUGUAACAAGUCGUACAUUACCGCUCCAAGAGCCAGUACAUCAAGAGCCAGACUAGUGCAAAAAAUGUUGGGCCGGUCACUGAGGAGGAAGAAUCAGGACCUGAGCCCUAGGACCAUGCCUCAGGACUACCUGACAUGAUGACUCCUUGCUGUUCCCAGUCCACCUGGCCGUGCUGCUGCUCCAGUUUCAACUGUUCUGCCUGUGAUUAUUAUUAUUUGACCAUGCUGGUCAUUUAUGAACAUUUGAACAUCUUGGCCAUGUUUUGUUAUAAUCGUGCCAGAAGAGGACUGGCCACCCCACAUAGCCUGGUUCCUCUCUAGGUUUCUUCCUAGGUUUUGGCCUUUCUAGGGAGUUUUUCCUAGCCACCGUGCUUCUACACCUGCAUUGCUGUUUGGGGUUUUAGGCUGGGUUUCUGUACAGCACUUUGAGAUAUCAGCUGAUGUACGAAGGGCUAUAUAAAUACAUUUGAUUUGAUUUGAAUGAAUGUCACUCUGAACUAUCCACUCUAACCACGACAGAGAAGGCGGACAAACUCUCCAACUUUUCAACAGAGACCCUGACGACACUGAGUGUAAAUAUAUAUAUAUAUAUUGAUUGCAAUUGUUCCCGAAUGAGUGAGCAUUCAUGUGCAAAGGAUUAGCAUUUCAAUUGUUAUAAUUAUCAACUGUGUGUUGUCUUAUCUCAGUCGACCCCCACUUCCCACUAGGGCACAUUCCCCUAUCAUUUCUUGUAACCAUAUCUACUGUUUGUUUAUGCAUUUCUGUGAAUUACUUAGUUAGUAAAUAAAUAAUUUAAGACAAUUGAUGUAUGGAUGACUCAUAGUGAAGACUGGGUUCGUGCAGAUAACCAAC